RNAcentral lists this ribosomal RNA (406 nucleotides) under Vibrio sp. AZTITEMP278. RNAcentral's name for it is "bacterial SSU rRNA". It matches the Rfam family "Bacterial small subunit ribosomal RNA", at positions 930 to 1335 of the family's 1533-position model. The record is from RNAcentral. Lineage: Bacteria; Pseudomonadati; Pseudomonadota; Gammaproteobacteria; Vibrionales; Vibrionaceae.
UGGUGGAGCAUGUGGUUUAAUUCGAUGCAACGCGAAGAACCUUACCUACUCUUGACAUCUAGAGAAUCCAGCGGAGACGCAGGAGUGCCUUCGGGAACUCUAAGACAGGUGCUGCAUGGCUGUCGUCAGCUCGUGUUGUGAAAUGUUGGGUUAAGUCCCGCAACGAGCGCAACCCUUAUCCUUGUUUGCCAGCGAGUAAUGUCGGGAACUCCAGGGAGACUGCCGGUGAUAAACCGGAGGAAGGUGGGGACGACGUCAAGUCAUCAUGGCCCUUACGAGUAGGGCUACACACGUGCUACAAUGGCGCAUACAGAGGGCAGCAAGCUAGCGAUAGUGAGCGAAUCCCAAAAAGUGCGUCGUAGUCCGGAUUGGAGUCUGCAACUCGACUCCANGAAGUNNGAAUCGC